GGCAGUUCUUGGGUGACACACCCCAGAAUCAGGCUCCCUCCUCUAUAGUUCUGGGUGGGUCACCAGAGAACCGCA
Molecule: non-coding RNA, 75 nt
Organism: Myotis lucifugus (little brown bat)
Lineage: Eukaryota; Metazoa; Chordata; Mammalia; Chiroptera; Vespertilionidae
Source: Rfam